GAUCAUGGCUCAGAACGAACGCUGGCGGCAGGCCUAACACAUGCAAGUCGAGCGAACCCUUCGGGGUUAGCGGCGGACGGGUUAGUAACGCGUGGGAAUAUACCCUUUGGUACGGAAUAGCCUCGGGAAACUGAGAGUAAUACCGUAUGUGCCCUUCGGGGGAAGGAUUUAUCGCCAAAGGAUUAGCCCGCGUUGGAUUAGAUAGUUGGUGGGGUAAUGGCCUACCAAGUCUACGAUCCAUAGCUGGUUUGAGAGGAUGAUCAGCAACACUGGGACUGAGACACGGCCCAGACUCCUACGGGAGGCAGCAGUGGGGAAUCUUAGACAAUGGGCGCAAGCCUGAUCUAGCCAUGCCGCGUGGACGAUGAAGGCCUUAGGGUUGUAAAGUCCUUUCAGAUGGGAAGAUAAUGACGGUACCAUCAGAAGAAGCCCCGGCUAACUCCGUG
RNAcentral lists this ribosomal RNA (446 nucleotides) under uncultured bacterium. RNAcentral describes it as "bacterial SSU rRNA". It matches the Rfam family "Bacterial small subunit ribosomal RNA", at positions 15 to 507 of the family's 1533-position model. The record is from RNAcentral.